Molecule: ribosomal RNA, 253 nt
Filed under: uncultured bacterium
Lineage: Bacteria
Description: partial 16S ribosomal RNA
Rfam family: Bacterial small subunit ribosomal RNA
Source: RNAcentral
UACGUAGGGCGCAAGCAUUGUCCGGAAUUAUUGGGCGUAAAGAGCUCGUAGGCGGCUUGUCACGUCGGGUGUGAAAGCCCGGGGCUUAACCCCGGGUCUGCAUUCGAUACGGGCAGGCUGGAGUUCGGUAGGGGAGAUCGGAAUUCCUGGUGUAGCGGUGAAAUGCGUAGAUAUCAAGCGGAACACCAGUGGCGAAGGCGAGUCCCUGGACAACUCCUGACACUGAGGCACGAAAGCUAGGGGAGCAAACAGG